CCCAGGAUGGGAGAUGCUUUGCUGGAAAAUUCCAUGGAUGGUCAACUCAGCAGUUCUUCCAGCCUUUCCAGACCCUGAAGAGGAUGGAACACUCUCAAUGUAUUUCACGAGGCAAAAGCCACUACCCUGGUUUGCUUCUCCAUUGUUAUGACACAAGUAGUAGCUGGUAAACACGGCUUUCCACCUGGCAUCGGAUGCAGCCACGGACCACAUGUUGAUGGCUUCAGAGACUUUCUGUUCUUUUUUGUGUUUUUUUUUUUCUUCCCACAGCAGGGAUGUCUUGUCAUAAGACUAUCACCAAGACUCAUACUUUGGUUUCCCUCCUAGUCACCUCCAGAUCCAGCUGUUCACAGACCACUUGGCUGUGGGUUACGUCCAACUCAUCUGUUGUGGUUCAAGUUGUGCUAUCCCCAAACAAUCACAACUCAGAAAACCACAGAGGAAUGCUCAUGUGAUGCUCAUGUGAUCCAGCCAUGAAGGAAAGGAAUACAAACCUGAAGACCCCAAGAAGAAUCUCAACAAUGUGUGUUGCUGAGCCCUCUUCUCUAUUUGUUUCUUAUUACUAGGCCACCUUCCACUUGCCAAAUCAUACUGUCACAUAAAACAUCAAAACGGU
Long non-coding RNA from Psammomys obesus (fat sand rat), 616 nucleotides. RefSeq lists it as uncharacterized. The record is from RefSeq and is a predicted model, not a curated record. NCBI's taxonomy places the organism in Eukaryota, Metazoa, Chordata, Mammalia, Rodentia, Muridae. The transcript is spliced from 2 exons.